Molecule: long non-coding RNA, 186 nt
Organism: Pecten maximus
Lineage: Eukaryota; Metazoa; Mollusca; Bivalvia; Pectinida; Pectinidae
Exons: 3
Source: RefSeq, a predicted model, not a curated record
GGAGAUCAAGAGGAAGCUGGACCAAGCUCACAGACAGAGGUUAUUCCAGUAGAAAGUGAUUCAGACUCCACCCAACCACCAGACAGUGGAGAGUACGAGUCAUAUUAUGAGUGGGAGCCUGUAACCCCACCAACCCCACCAAGGAAAAAAGCUAGAUCUUCACAUACAGAAGUGCCAGCGGAAACC